CGCCUUGCCAGCCCGCUCAGAACUCAAAGGAAUUGACGGGGGCCCGCACAAGCGGUGGAGCAUGUGGUUUAAUUCGAUGAUACGCGAGGAACCUUACCUGGGCUCAAAUGUAUGUUGACGUAUUCUGAAAGGGAUACUUCUUCGGACAAUAUACAAGGUGCUGCAUGGUUGUCGUCAGCUCGUGCCGUGAGGUGUCGGGUUAAGUCCCAUAACGAGCGCAACCCCUACCUUUAGUUGCCAUCAGGUUAAGCUGGGGACUCUAAAGGAACUGCCUACGCAAGUAGUGAGGAAGGCGGGGAUGACGUCAAAUCAGCACGGCCCUUACGUCCAGGGCUACACACGUGCUACAAUGGCCGAUACAGAGGGCAGCUACCUGGUGACAGGAUGCAAAUCUCCAAAGUCGGUCUCAGUUCGGAUCGGAGUCUGCAACCCGACUCCGUGAAGUUGGAUUCGCUAGUAAUCGCGCAUCAGCCAUGGCGCGGUGAAUACGUUCCCGGGCCUU
Molecule: ribosomal RNA, 502 nt
Filed under: uncultured Sphingobacteriales bacterium
Lineage: Bacteria; Pseudomonadati; Bacteroidota; Sphingobacteriia; Sphingobacteriales
Description: bacterial SSU rRNA
Rfam family: Bacterial small subunit ribosomal RNA
Source: RNAcentral